Molecule: ribosomal RNA, 434 nt
Filed under: uncultured bacterium
Lineage: Bacteria
Description: partial 16S ribosomal RNA
Rfam family: Bacterial small subunit ribosomal RNA
Source: RNAcentral
AGCGAACGCUGGCGGCAGGCCUAACACAUGCAAGUCGAACGAACCUUUCGGGGUUAGUGGCGGACGGGUGAGUAACACGUGGUAACGUGCCUUUAGGUUCGGAAUAACUCAGGGAAACUUGUGCUAAUACCGCAUGUGCCCUUCGGGGGAAAGAUUCAUCGCCUUUCGAGCGGCCCGCGUCCGAUUAGCUAGUUGGUUGAGGUAAUGGCUCACCAGGGCGACGCUCAGUAGCUGGUCUGAGAGGACUAUCAGCCACAUUGGGACUGAGACACGGCCCAACCGCCUACGGGAGGGAGCGGUGGGGAAGCUAGCGAGAGGCGCGAAAGCCUGACGUAGCCGUGCCGCGUGAAUGACGAAGGUGGUAGGAUUGGAAAAUUCUUGCUGCGGGGAAGAUAAUGACGGUACCUGGAGAAGAAGGCCCGGCUAACUGCGUC